This 568-nucleotide ribosomal RNA is filed under the name uncultured archaeon. RNAcentral's name for it is "bacterial SSU rRNA". It matches the Rfam family "Archaeal small subunit ribosomal RNA", at positions 326 to 899 of the family's 1478-position model. The record is from RNAcentral.
CGGGGUGCACCAGGCGCGAAAACUUUACAAUGCCGGCAACGGCGAUAAGGGAACCUCGAGUGCCAGGUUACAAAUCUGGCUGUCGUGAUGCCUAAAAAGCAUUGCAUAGCAAGGGCCGGGCAAGACCGGUGCCAGCCGCCGCGGUAACACCGGCGGCUCGAGUGGUAACCGUUAUUAUUGGGUCUAAAGGGUCUGUAGCCGGCCGGGUAAGUCUCUUGGGAAAUCUGGCAGCUUAACUGUCAGGCUUUCAGGAGAUACUGCCUGGCUCGAGGCCGGGAGAGGUGAGAGGUACUUCAGGGGUAGGGGUGGAAUCUUGUAAUCCUUGAAGGACCACCAGUGGCGAAGGCGUCUCACCGGAACGGACCUGACGGCAAGGGACGAAAGCUAGGGGCACGAACCGGAUUAGAUACCCGGGUAGUCCUAGCCGUAAACGAUACUCGCUAGGUGUCGGCCACGGUGCGACCGUGGUCGGUGCCGUAGGGAAGCCGUGAAGCGAGCCACCUGGGAAGUACGGCCGCAAGGCUGAAACUUAAAGGAAUUGGCGGGGGAGCACAAGGGCGAAUUCGCG